AGCAGCCGCGGUAAUUCCAGCUCCAAUAGCGUAUAUUAAAGUUGUUGCAGUUAAAAAGCUCGUAGUUGAAUUUCGGGAUCAGUUGAUCGGUCGUGCCUCGGUACGUACUGGUCAAAUUGAUUCCUACCUUCUGACGAACCACGAUGUCAUUAAUUUGAUGUCGCGGGAAAUCAGGACUGUUACUUUGAAAAAAUUAGAGUGUUUAAAGCAGGCUCGCGCUUGAAUACAUUAGCAUGGAAUAAUGAAAUAGGACGUUUGAUUCUAUUUUGUUGGUUUCUAGGAUCGACGUAAUGAUUAAUAGGGAUAGUUGGGGGCAUUAGUAUUCAAUUGUCAGAGGUGAAAUUCUUGGAUUUAUUGAAGACUAACUACUGCGAAAGCAUUUGCCAAGGAUGUUUUC
Molecule: ribosomal RNA, 397 nt
Filed under: uncultured Glomeromycotina
Lineage: Eukaryota; Fungi; Glomeromycota
Description: SSU rRNA
Rfam family: Eukaryotic small subunit ribosomal RNA
Source: RNAcentral